UACGGAGGGUGCGAACGUUAAUCGGAAUUACUGGGCGUAAAGCGCGCGUAGGCGGUUCGAUAAGUGGGAUGUGAAAGCCCCGGGCUCAACCUGGGAAUUGCCUUCCAAACUGUCGGGCUAGAGUGUGGUAGAGGGAGGUGGAAUUUCCUGUGUAGCGGUGAAAUGCGUAGAUAUAGGAAGGAACACCAGUGGCGAAGGCGGCCUCCUGGACCAACACUGACGCUGAGGUGCGAAAGCGUGGGGAGCAAACAGG
RNAcentral lists this ribosomal RNA (253 nucleotides) under uncultured bacterium. RNAcentral's name for it is "partial 16S ribosomal RNA". It matches the Rfam family "Bacterial small subunit ribosomal RNA", at positions 524 to 776 of the family's 1533-position model. The record is from RNAcentral.